RNAcentral lists this long non-coding RNA (653 nucleotides) under Anas platyrhynchos platyrhynchos (common mallard). Its description in RNAcentral is "lncRNA (ENSAPLG00000028044.1)". The record is from RNAcentral. Lineage: Eukaryota; Metazoa; Chordata; Aves; Anseriformes; Anatidae.
CUACAGGCCUACAGAAAAUGAACCACUGUUGAGCUUGAUCAGUUACUGGACUGGGGAGGCUCAGACAAUUCAGGAUUGAUGGCCACAAGGAAGAAGCGAGAGUAGGGCAUCAUCUCUGCUCCUCAUGGAAACACAAGUGUGGACAUGCCUUACAUAAAACUUGCUGUUAACAGGGAAGUCAAAGGAUGUUUGGCUGGGCAAACAACUGCUCUACACGAUUUGCCUAAUUUUCUAGGUCAUUCUGUAUGAAGUGAGUCUUUCAAACCCAGCUUCUCUAACAACUUCACAGUUGUGUGCUCAGGAGGCUCCCGGGUAUGCCGUCUGUCUGCAGGCCAAGCAGCAUGAUGCUUUCGAGGAAAAGUGCCCUUCCUGUCUGGGAAAUUUUGAACGACAUGUAUUGUAACAUAGAAGACAGAGGAACUGGAGAUCUGCAAAAGUGUGAGGCAAUAGUUGAACAAGACAAAGAACAUGAUGCUGCAUCUUUGCAAUUGGUAUUAUUUCAUGAAUGUGACAUAGCGCAACUGUCAUGUAAAGUAGCUACAGAUAACCACAACAACACACCAGCUAUGUCCCUGGUCUUACGAGUUUCUUCAUCAAAUCAUCGUGUAAUGAGGCAGGAGAAGCUGUACCAUCUGCAGCUUUCAGAAGGAUGA